This 490-nucleotide ribosomal RNA is filed under the name uncultured bacterium. RNAcentral describes it as "partial 16S ribosomal RNA". It matches the Rfam family "Bacterial small subunit ribosomal RNA", at positions 30 to 507 of the family's 1533-position model. The record is from RNAcentral.
AUUGAACGCUGGCGGCAGGCCUAACACAUGCAAGUCGAACGGAAACAGGAAGAAGCUUGCUUCUUUGCUGACGAGUGGCGGGCGGGUGAGACAUGUCUGGGAAACUGCUUGAUGUAGGGGGAUAACUACUGGAAACGGUAGCUAAUACCGCAUAACGUCGCAAGACCAAAGAGGGGGACAUUCGGGCCUCUUGCCAUCGGAUGUGCCCAGAUGGGAUUAGCUAGUAGGUGGGGUAACGGCGCACCUAGGCGACCAUCCCUAGCUGGUCUGAGAGGAUGACCAGCCACCCUGGAACUUAGACACGGUCCAGAGUCCUACGGGAGGCAGCAGUGGGGAAUAUUGCACAAUGGGCGCAAGCCUGAUGCAGCCAUGCCGCGUGUAUGAAGAAGGCCUUCGGGUUGUAAAGUACUUUCAGCGGGGAGGAAGGGAGUAAAGUUAAUACCUUUGCUCAUUGACGUUACCCGCAGAAGAAGCACCGGCUAACUCCGUG